GUACACUCCUGCGGGAGGCAGCAGUGGGGAAUAUUGGACAAUGGGCGCAAGCCUGAUCCAGCCAUGCCGCGUGAGUGAUGAAGGCCCUAGGGUUGUAAAGCUCUUUCACCGGUGAAGAUAAUGACGGUAACCGGAGAAGAAGCCCCGGCUAACUUCGUGCCAGCAGCCGCGGUAAUACGAAGGGGGCUAGCGUUGUUCGGAUUUACUGGGCGUAAAGCGCACGUAGGCGGACUAUUAAGUCAGGGGUGAAAUCCCGGGGCUCAACCCCGGAACUGCCUUUGAUACUGGUAGUCUUGAGUUCGAGAGAGGUGAGUGGAAUUCCGAGUGUAGAGGUGAAAUUCGUAGAUAUUCGGAGGAACACCAGUGGCGAAGGCGGCUCACCGGCUCGAUACUGACGCUGAGGUGCGAAAGCGUGGGGAGCAAACAGGAUUAGAAACCCGUGUAGUCCCAUGAU
This 454-nucleotide ribosomal RNA is filed under the name uncultured organism. RNAcentral's name for it is "partial 16S ribosomal RNA". It matches the Rfam family "Bacterial small subunit ribosomal RNA", at positions 331 to 801 of the family's 1533-position model. The record is from RNAcentral.